Long non-coding RNA from Triticum aestivum (bread wheat), 1453 nucleotides. RefSeq lists it as uncharacterized. The record is from RefSeq and is a predicted model, not a curated record. The transcript is spliced from 2 exons. Lineage: Eukaryota; Viridiplantae; Streptophyta; Magnoliopsida; Poales; Poaceae.
CACGGGCUCCUCAAUAAUAAAUGUGCGUUAUCUUCUCCACCAUGCCAUUGGUAUUCUCCCACUUUAUUUCCCCCUUCUCUUCGUAUCCUCCGUCCGGUUCCACUCAUCGAAAUAAAUCAACCCAUUCAUACUCGCCGUGCAAAAGCUACCAUACACACCUCACCUUCAGCGGCGAUGGUGGUGCUCAUGGCGCGGUGCUGCUGCCAGCCCGGCGUUCGUGGGGGUGGGGGUCGCCCCCAAAUACCAGGAUGCUGCUGCUGACCCGGGCCCCCUGUGAGCCUGCAAUCCGUUGCCGAAUCAAGCCCCGCGGGCAGUGCUGACCCAAGCCCGCGCCCCGAUGUCGACCAUAGCUCUAGGCGAGCCACACGUCUCACCGUUGUCGUCGUCCUCCAACAUCACCUGUGUCAAAAGGUGAGGGCUCUCCUUCCUCUCUAUCUCGACGAAUCCUAACGAUCUUGAGUUUGUUUGGGUUGGAAGCUCUGAUUUGUGUGGGGCAGGAAGCAUUUUUUAGAAGGCAGAUCUGUUAUGUCUCCAGCGUACUCUUCCGCCCACCAAGUCCGUUGGAAGGAAUAAACAAAUGAAACAACUUUGAUUGGAAACGAUGGGUCGUACUGUUCUCUCUUCUUUUUCUUUUGUAUAUAAGGCGCUGAUUGGAAGGAAUAAGUACGUGCAACUACAAUCCCGCAUCUCUCUCUCUCUCUCUCUCUCUCAUACAUGCACACACGUGUAGGUUAGUAUGAAUUUUAUUGUUUUUUUUUGCUUUGAUUGUUUUGUGAAUCAAGGCAUAUUCUUUUGGUCAUUUUCAGGUAUGUUCCUGACAGACAGUACUAUUCCACUAUGAAUGCCAUCAGAACGAUCCGAUACCCGAAUAGAUGGUUUAUUAGGCAUAUGUGUGUUUCAUUAGUACUGUUCUAUCUGAACAUCAUCUAGCCUGUCGAGCUAGCACAGUGAUAGAUUAGCCAUGUGUUUCAGAUUUAUCAUUCAAAAUGGAAGAUUCUGUAAAUAUUGUUGUGGAUAUGAGUUGCAGGUUAAUCGACUAGCGGCUUCAAGUGUAAGUUUAAAAGGCAAUUUUCCAGAUAUUAUACAAAUAAAAUAAAAUAAAUCAUAUUUGCAUUUGUUUUACAUAAUGAUGUGUUAUACAUUUCCUUCCAUAAAUUGAAGCUUUCAUAAUCGAUUGCAGGGUUGUAGCUUCUGUGCUAAAUGAUCAACACAAGAAUUUCUCUGUGCUGGGGCCGGAUGUUGAGGAGAUCAAGCUACUGUUUGUAAAUGAGGGUUCAUCGAGAAGCAAACACAACGGCGCAUAUGAUGGCGAAGGAAGGGGUCUUGAAUGAUCUUCGUAAAGUAUGGCUGCAUGUGCCACCUGAUAGUAUCAUGCAUGUAAUUUGAAAUCCCUGAACUUCAUGAAUAAAUAGAGUGAGGAAGUUAAUCUAAAAAAAAAUGAAGCUUUUAUUAA